Molecule: ribosomal RNA, 242 nt
Filed under: uncultured bacterium
Lineage: Bacteria
Description: partial 16S ribosomal RNA
Rfam family: Bacterial small subunit ribosomal RNA
Source: RNAcentral
GGAUACCUACGGGGCGCAGCAGUAGGGAAUCUUCCACAAUGGGCGCAAGCCUGAUGGAGCAACACCGCGUGAGUGAAGAAGGGUUUCGGCUCGUAAAGCUCUGUUGUUGGAGAAGAACGUGCGUGAGAGUAACUUUUCGCGCAGUGACGGUAUCCAGCCAGAAAGUCACGGCUAACUACGUGCCAGCAGCCGCGGUAAUACGUAGGUGGCAAGCGUUAUCCGGAUUUAUUGGGCGUAAAGCG